AGACCUCACGUCACAGAAACUUGCGACGUUUGCCCCCGAUUCGCGCGUCAGGUGCUCCGUCCCUUCUAGGUGGCAGAGGAGAGGGAAGGGUCCCGCCUGGUGGGGCCCUGAGAGCCAAUGGGCUGCGGUGCUCGAGUGUGGACGCCGCCCCCGCCUUCUGCGUCUACAGCCCGGGGUUCUGGGACCUUUGGAAACCGCUUUGGACAAAGCUGAGCAUCUCUUUCCCCACGCUGACCUCCCCCAUAGACUCUGGAUGGGGGUAAAUGAGGCCCCAGGAAACCGAAACAAUGAGCCAGCAGGCAAUGAAAAGGGCAGGCCCACCCCAGGCCAGCUUCAAAGUGAGUCAUCUUCCCCUUUCCUUUCCUGAGAGGUGGCCACCUUCGCCUGCUGUCCCAGCUCACACCAGACACCGUGCCCAAGUACUGGCCAGUCCCCAAAGGGCAUGGGAGAAAAGCCAUCCAUCCCUGAAAUUCACAGGGAAGGCAACCACUCGUCACCCACUUAGGAGCAUCCUGAAAGGGGAUGCAAUCAAGCCAGUUCAAUUUGGAAUUGCUUAAAAAUGUGGAUUUUAAGCAGAAUGUAAAAAGGAAUGAUUUCAGACAGUGCUAGUGAGGUUUUAUUUUUUUACUUUUUACAACUCGUAGGAAAUCCAGAAAGUUCACUCUAGAGAAGCUUGUUUGGCCAAACCUUGCUUUGGGUGGUGAAGACAGAAUAUGAUGUCCCGGAUCAGCGUGUGGUGACUUUGGAGGUAUUUACACGCAGCUCACUCCAGCUCUGCCGCUGAGCUGGCUGAGGUGGCUGCAGUACACGGGGCCCAUCCUGAAUCCCAGGUUCCUCACAUGUGAACAGCAUGAAAAGUGCCUCUAAGACAUCCACAGGUGUGCAGGGUUAGAGUGGGUGAGUGUCCUAGUGUAGACUCAGCGGAGUGGAGCUAGGGCGUGGGUAGUGGUGUUUCGCCCCUGCUUGCUACCCAGCCCUCCCUCUCCCUCAGACCUGGCCUCAGCCCUCAGGCAGACCCGUAUCUUCUCUUCCACCCCCUCCUUCCUCCUCCCUAGCACUCAGCCUUGCUCCUCUACUCUCUACCCUCCCUCCCCAGGCAGCGCCUCAGCUUCGUCAGCUCCCUUAGGUGCUGUGGAUCCCUUAGGACAAGGCUCUGUCCCUCAGAGCACUGAGCGCCAUCUAACGCUGUCCUCUUGGAGACGUUGUAUUCACCAGGUAAGAUGGAUUCAGCAUUGCACCCCAGAGUGCCUGACGCACAGCAGGGGCCACAUAAAUACAUCUGCUGGGCGCACGAACACUUCCUCCUUCCUUGCCACCAGCCAGCAUCACAACCAGCCUGGCCAGGCUCCCAGUCCAGCCCAGCCCAGCAGCUAACCCCAGCCUACAGAGUGUUACAGGCCAAGAAAAUGGGGGUCAUGACCAACUCAGUAUACCACUGGAGGCUCUAUCAGUGAAUGGAAAAAUGUUCUCAUGAAAGCAGGAUGUUGGAAAACUGACAACUGCAUCUGCCCCCAGAGGGAGGGCUGAGGGCAGUCAGGCCCUGUUCCUUCUGAUUACCUAUAGAAACAUCUGACGCCUGUUGUAUGAAGAACGCUAUUAUGUGCACCUGUGAUUAAUUAAGCAGCUGACCAACCAUUACCUCUCCCUCCCUGCUCUUUGUCCCUAAUAAAUACGAAGGGCUGUGGAAGCUCAGAGCUGCCUUUGCUCACUAGAAGCGAGGAGCCCCCGACCCCUUCUUUUAAAACAGAUCCUCUUGUCUUUUUACUUCUGCGUUCGGCCGCCUUCGUUCACUCCCGUAGAAACCGUCAGCAAUAGCACAGCGUUCAUCACAUCCAUGUGGGAGCCCUCAGGGACCCUCUUCUUUACUGUGUAGUAAGUAUUUCCUGAACACCUCGUGCCGACCUCACCAGGCACAAGGCACCCGGAAGCCUCCGUGGACAGAACGUGCUCAUGGAGCUGGUGUUCCAUUAACAGGACAGAUGCCUUAGAAGGUCAUCACAAACAGGGACUUUGGACUGCAAGUUGCGGUAAGUUCCAUGAAUGAAACCAACAAGUUGCCAAAUGGAAAGAACCUGAGGAGCUCAGUGUGGACGGGUUAAGCAAUGGCCCCUGGGGGAAGGGAAACUGAAACUGAGACCUGAGCGACUGGAGGC
RNAcentral lists this long non-coding RNA (2153 nucleotides) under Macaca mulatta (Rhesus monkey). RNAcentral describes it as "lncRNA (ENSMMUG00000059815.1)". Lineage: Eukaryota; Metazoa; Chordata; Mammalia; Primates; Cercopithecidae. The record is from RNAcentral.